Molecule: long non-coding RNA, 757 nt
Organism: Paramormyrops kingsleyae
Lineage: Eukaryota; Metazoa; Chordata; Actinopteri; Osteoglossiformes; Mormyridae
Source: RefSeq, a predicted model, not a curated record
GGAUGGGCUGGACGUGACAGAAGCCGGGAUGUCCAACUAUUAAAUCAAAAACUGCUCUGUAACAUAUCAGUAACUUUUUUGUUUUGCUGUGAAGUAAAAAGGCUGGGUGAGCAUCCUCUGAGUAUGAUUCGGCUACCCAGCUGCAGUGAUGGACAGGGCUCAAGUCUCAAACUCACCCCGCUGUUGGACUCCUUCGUGACUCAGACUCGACUUCUUAAAGAUAUUGUCUUGACUCAGAGUUGACUAAGGUGGAUAUGAACGCAAUGCUGUCUUAAAAUAGCUUUCAAAGGUGAUUUGGUCAGUGUCAUUCAGGUGGAGAUAAUAGGGGAAAAAUGUUACCCGUGUCCAUAUAUCAACUUCUUAUAGUCUGAAUGAAGAGCAGAAAGACAUUUUCACAGCACAAAUCCCUAACCACGGAGGUCAUUUCCCCCCUUUUUUGCCACAAUAACAAAAUGGCUCAGAAUGAAAGGACUAUUCUUUUUCCCAGAAUUUUCCAGAGCCCGCAGAGAAUAGCUUUGGACUGGUGUACUUCAUCUUCAAACGAUCUUUUAUAUUUGGCCAGAUGAAUGGAAGCACCAUUUGGACACACCCUUCUGAAUUAAAGCCUCAAACCUGUUGUGGUCUCUACAUGAAAACCACGUCGGAAAUAAGCCUUAACUUUUCCUCUGAUUUUUUAACAUAAAUAGUCGUGACUAGUGUAUCUAUUUUCUUAUCUGUUAUUGACUGAAGAAUUAAUAUAUUAUGGUUUUAAGCUCAA